CGUGGCCUGGUGGUCAAGACAACAGUCUGACAGCGUGAUGGUAGUAGGUUCGAGUCCGGGC
Molecule: transfer RNA, 61 nt
Filed under: Oxyrrhis marina
Lineage: Eukaryota; Dinophyceae; Oxyrrhinales; Oxyrrhinaceae
Source: RNAcentral